RNAcentral lists this ribosomal RNA (253 nucleotides) under uncultured bacterium. Its description in RNAcentral is "partial 16S ribosomal RNA". It matches the Rfam family "Bacterial small subunit ribosomal RNA", at positions 524 to 776 of the family's 1533-position model. The record is from RNAcentral.
UACGUAGGGGGCUAGCGUUGUCCGGAAUCAUUGAGCGUAAAGAGCGUGUAGGCGGCCCGGUAAGUCCGCUGUGAAAGUCGGGGGCUCAACCCUCGAAUGCCGGUGGAUACUGUCGGGCUAGAGUGCGGAAGAGGCGAGUGGAAUUCCUGGUGUAGCGGUGAAAUGCGCAGAUAUCAGGAGGAACACCGAUUGCGAAGGCAGCUCGCUGGGACGUCACUGACGCUGAGACGCGAAAGCGUGGGGAGCAAACAGG